Molecule: ribosomal RNA, 235 nt
Filed under: uncultured bacterium
Lineage: Bacteria
Description: partial 16S ribosomal RNA
Rfam family: Bacterial small subunit ribosomal RNA
Source: RNAcentral
CGCACGGGUGCGUAACGCGUAUAGAACCUACCUUAUAUUGGGGAAUAGCCCAGAGAAAUUUGGAUUAAUACCCCAUAGUAUUAUUGAAUAGCAUUAUUUAAUAAUUAAAGAUUUAUCGAUAUAAGAUGGCUAUGCGUUCUAUUAGCUAGUUGGUAUGGUAACGGCAUACCAAGGCAACGAUAGAUAGGGGUCCUGAGAGGGAGAUCCCCCACACUGGUACUGAGACACGGACCAG